RNAcentral lists this ribosomal RNA (400 nucleotides) under alpha proteobacterium Dell 6. RNAcentral's name for it is "bacterial SSU rRNA". It matches the Rfam family "Bacterial small subunit ribosomal RNA", at positions 1084 to 1488 of the family's 1533-position model. The record is from RNAcentral. Lineage: Bacteria; Pseudomonadati; Pseudomonadota; Alphaproteobacteria.
GUCCGCACGAGCCCACCCUCGCCCUUAGUUGCCAGCAUUUAGUUGUGCACUCUAUGGGGACUGCCGGUGAUAGCCGGAGGAAGGUGGGGAUGACAUCUAGUCCUCAUGGCCCUUACAGGCUGGGCUACACACGUGCUACAAUGGCGGUGACAGUGGGCAGCGACCUCGCGAGGGGUAGCUAAUCUCUAAAAGCCGUCUCAGUUCGGAUUGUUCUCUGCAACUCGAGAGCAUGAAGUUGGAAUCGCUAGUAAUCGCGUAACAUCAUGACGCGGUGAAUACGUUCCCGGGCCUUGUACACACCGCCCGUCACACCAUGGGAGUUGGUUUUACCCGAAGGCGCUGCGCUAACCCGCAAGGGAGGCAGGCGACCACGGUAGGGUCAGCGACUGGGGUGAAGUCU